UGAGGAACAUGACCUUCGGCGGGGGAUAGCCGGCCCAACGGCCGGGUAAUACCGCGUACGACCACAUGGGACAUCCCUGAGUGGUGAAAGCAGCAAUGCGCCGAUGGAGUGCCUCGCGGCCUAUCAGCUAGUUGGUGAGGUAACGGCUCACCAAGGCGACGACGGGUANCUGGUCUGAGAGGAUGGCCAGCCACAUUGGGACUGAGACACGGCCCAGACCUNUACCGGGGAGG
This 233-nucleotide ribosomal RNA is filed under the name uncultured bacterium. RNAcentral's name for it is "partial 16S ribosomal RNA". It matches the Rfam family "Bacterial small subunit ribosomal RNA", at positions 118 to 347 of the family's 1533-position model. The record is from RNAcentral.